GGAGGGUGCAAGCGUUAAUCGGAAUUACUGGGCGUAAAGCGCACGCAGGCGGUUGGAUAAGUUAGAUGUGAAAGCCCCGGGCUCMACCUGGGAAUUGCAUUUAAAACUGUCCAGCUAGAGUCUUGUAGAGGGGGGUAGAAUUCCAGGUGUAGCGGUGAAAUGCGUAGAGAUCUGGAGGAAUACCGGUGGCGAAGGCGGCCCCCUGGACAAAGACUGACGCUCAGGUGCGAAAGCGUGGGGAGCAAACAGGAUUAGAUACCCUGGUAGUCCACGCCGUAAACGAUGUCGAUUUGGAGGCUGUGUCCUUGAGACGUGGCUUCCGGAGCUAACGCGUUAAAUCGACCGCCUGGGGAGUACGGCCGCAAGGUUA
RNAcentral lists this ribosomal RNA (370 nucleotides) under uncultured bacterium. Its description in RNAcentral is "bacterial SSU rRNA". It matches the Rfam family "Bacterial small subunit ribosomal RNA", at positions 527 to 896 of the family's 1533-position model. The record is from RNAcentral.